ACAGAGUUACUCAGUACUUGUAUUGGUCGGAGAUCACAGGUAUCCAGUGAAUCCAUCGAGAUGCACGCAAACUGAUCCAAAUAUCAUUGUUCUGUUAUCAAAAAAGGGAAAAGCCACUUUUGCUUCCAACCUACAAACCACCAGUUCGAAGAAUCACAGUGGGUAAGCUGGGGAUCCCUAGCAGCAGGGGGAAUGGGGAUAAUAAGUUGUAUUUUAGCAGCAGUGGUCAACUAUUAUUUUCUGAUUUUGUAACCUUGUUGUGUUGUCUUGAAUCAAAGUAGGCUAUAAAUUCAAUGAAUUAUUUUGUUCUUUUGGAAUGAAAAACAGACAAGAAAUUGUCUCAAAUAUAUUUCUUCUUUUGGCAGCCAAGAGUGUGGCAUAGCAUCAAUGAAAUGUGCGAAAACUAUGGGAGACCAGGAUUCAAAUUCCAGCGGCGGAGAGGAAAAGAAAAUGCUAGGUAUUUCUUCUCAUUUGUUUAAGCGUUGAUGGACAAAGUUAAGCAUGUUUCUGUGUUGAUGGGAGAUGCCAUAUACUCGUCGAGAUGUGGACAAGCUGGCUCGGACGCUGUUGUUACAGGAAAAAAGUAUAUUUCUUCUUCCGUGUGUUAAUUUAUUUGCAUAUAUUUACAUCUCUAGAGUUUAGGUAUAAAACGAAGUACUAACAAACACAAUUGGAGUGAAUGAAUAUGAUGUUUACACCGAACAAUAUCCAAAAGAUAACGGAUUAAAAUGAACUUUUAAAGCCUACUUUCUAUAUUGCAGAAUUAUCGAUACAUAUAUACUUCUGAAAGACCUCCAUUCUUUUCAGAUCAAAGCUUUAACCAAACUGUGUUUGGCAUUAGAAGAUCCUAUCAACC
This 856-nucleotide long non-coding RNA is filed under the name Nicotiana tabacum (common tobacco). RNAcentral describes it as "long non-coding RNA (NTAB_LNC015177)". The record is from RNAcentral. Lineage: Eukaryota; Viridiplantae; Streptophyta; Magnoliopsida; Solanales; Solanaceae.